This 108-nucleotide non-coding RNA is filed under the name Escherichia coli. RNAcentral's name for it is "antisense sRNA RprA". It matches the Rfam family "RprA RNA". From Rfam's summary of the family: Translational regulation of the stationary phase sigma factor RpoS is mediated by the formation of a double-stranded RNA stem-loop structure in the upstream region of the rpoS messenger RNA, occluding the translation initiation site. Clones carrying rprA (RpoS regulator RNA A) increased the translation of RpoS. Lineage: Bacteria; Pseudomonadati; Pseudomonadota; Gammaproteobacteria; Enterobacterales; Enterobacteriaceae. The record is from RNAcentral.
ACGGUUAUAAAUCAACAUAUUGAUUUAUAGGCAUGGAAAUCCCCUGAGUGAAACAACGAAUUGCUGUGUGUAGUCUUUGCCCAUCUCCCACGAUGGGCUUUUUUUUAU